Molecule: ribosomal RNA, 253 nt
Filed under: uncultured bacterium
Lineage: Bacteria
Description: partial 16S ribosomal RNA
Rfam family: Bacterial small subunit ribosomal RNA
Source: RNAcentral
UACAGAGGUCUCAAGCGUUGUUCGGAUUCAUUGGGCGUAAAGGGUGCGUAGGCGGCGCGGUAAGUCGGAUGUGAAAUCUCGGAGCUUAACUUCGAAACUGCAUUCGAUACUGCCGUGCUUGAGGACUGGAGAGGAGACUGGAAUUUACGGUGUAGCGGUGAAAUGCGUAGAUAUCGGAAGGAACGCCGGUGGCGAAAGCGGGCUGCUGGACCUCUACUGACGCUGAGGCGCGAAAGCCAGGGGAGCGAACGGG